Non-coding RNA from Oryctolagus cuniculus (rabbit), 3084 nucleotides. Lineage: Eukaryota; Metazoa; Chordata; Mammalia; Lagomorpha; Leporidae. The record is from RefSeq and is a predicted model, not a curated record.
CCCCUGAACCCAGAGUGGAGCACCGGAUACAGUCCCCGGCUUCUGCUUCGGCCCGGCCCGGCCCCGGCCUUAGUAGCCACCUGGGGGUUGAACCCCCAGAGGGACGAUCCGUGAGAGAGAGCAAGACGCAAGAGUGCUCGCGAUGCCCGGUGCUCUGCUUCUCUCCGCAAGCGGCUCCAACGGCCAGCGCCGGGCCAGGCAGAAGCCAGGAGGCUUGACUUCCAUUCAGGGCGCCCAGGAGGCUGGGAGGCGUGGUCCCUGGGUCACAGGCUGGAGAGGCCGCCCCGCCAGCGGCCCUGGGGCAUCGGACGCUGGACGCAGCAGGCAGCGCGCAGGUGCGUCCCGUGGCGCCACGGCGGCCGCCCGUGGGGAGUGCGCCUGCGCCCGGCGCUGUGCCCCGGAAGUGGCCCCUUGUGCCCCGGAAGUGGCCCCUUGUGGCCCGCGGCACUCAGGUAGGAGUCCUCGCGGGUCCCGUCCGCUGCUGCCGGAGAGCCCGCGCGAGCCGUUGGGAGCCGUCGUGGACGCUGCCAGCGGAGCCUGCGGGAGACCCAGCGCCCCCGGGGUCAGGCCGGGCUCAGAGAGGCUGCGGCCCGAAGCUGCCGCGCCGUUUCCCGGGCGCGGUUCUCUUCUUCAGCCCCUCGUGGAAGCAGCGGCCUUCGCAGGCCUCUGUGCCGCCAGCAGACCGGGCCCCCUUGGCGGUACAUCUCCUGCUCAGCCAUCCUCAGAUGGAAGUCUGCUCCUCAUCUGUUCCUGCCCAAAAGCCUGUUCAAGUCUUGAGGAGCCGUCCUCGAUGCUGCUGGCGGAGCCUGAGUGAGACCCAGUGCCUCCGGGGUCAGGCCUGAAUCAGAGACACUGCAGCCCGAGACAGCCGCAUCAGUUACCUUGCCCUUCUGGAAAUGUGUAGGCGCGGUCCUCUUCUUGGGCAGCUUCCGGAAGUCUACCCCUCGGGCCUCGGCUCCUGUUCCAGAGGAGCAGAAACGCUUUUUGUUUGCAUCCAGCGUCGUGGAGUUCUUUGUUGGAACAUGUGCUGAGCACUGGCGCCAAGCCUUCGAACAAGGAGGUGAGCAGCCAAGAGCAACACCUGCAGGAAGGGCCGGGCUGCUGGUGUCGGAGGAGUGGCAGUAGGUUCAACAGGACCCUCAGGUUUGUCCCUCCUCGCCUGGUGAGUCUUCUUGAAAUGUUUGUGCGUAUCAUAUGCCGGCCCUGGCCACAGGCAGGGGACACUCGGGCCUUCAGGAGCCAGGGGAAAGGAAGGAUAAAUUGUGUAUUAUAUUGUAUGUUAUAAAUUGAAUGCUGUAUAUUCAAUUUGUAUUAUAUAUUAUAAAUUUCAUGUCACAUGUUCUAAAUAGGCUUUACAUUGUAUAUCGUAAAAUGUGUAUGUGCUCGGAGGUAUCACAUACGGUUCCAGAAGGAAUGGGCCUACCUGGCUGAAUUGUCAUGCCAGGAUGGGUGAACCAGCAGGUGAGUCAUCUUCUGUCGGGUGGGCACUUACGAUGCCCAGCGACUGCGUUAAUUUCCAGGUUUCUUGUGUUAUUUUCUGGAUUUAUAGUUCUGCUUGGUGGAUAGGAGCUGAGAAAACGGAUCUAGUCAUCCAGAAAGGAAGUUCCUGCUCACAGGCUUUGACUCCUGUUUUUCCUAAUUUGCUAAGCUAGUUUAUCUCAGUUUACAUGGAAGGUUCUGCAACACAGCAGUGAUAGCAUUGACUGGGAAACCCCCCAAAAUGGUUGUAUAUCGAUGUCAUUGCCCCACUGAAUUCUAAUUCUGCCUCUGUGAUAUCCAGUGUUGCCCUAAUUUUAUGAAAAAGUUCUUUAGCAAGAUAUUGUUAGAUUGUCUUAACGAAUGCGGCUAUAUGGGGAGACAUACGAUGUAAACUUCACAUAUCCCAGUCAUAUUAUUACAUUAGCUAGGACUGUGGGGACUCUGUUUAUCAUCAGAGGCAAGUAGAUCAGAGGAUGGCACCGAAAGUUUGAGAAGGAAGCAUUAUUCCCUAAGUAUAUUUGUUGCAGGUAUAAAACUAUAAGGUUCUGAAUAACUCAAUACUGGUUCUUUUUAUUUCUAAGUUAGAUUUUGAAAUAUUGAAAUCACUUGGAUUAUGAUAUUUUUCGGUCGGAGAGGAGAGGGGUAUUGUUUCUGCACAGUAUCCACAAUGGUUGCCAUGCCAUUGGUUGUGAAACUUUGGUUGACGAAAUGAAAUCCCUGUUAGUCCGUGUGUUUAAACAACACAGAAUUUCAGAAUCCCUAGGUAUUGUGUUUUGUGGUUUGGUUCUUAUAGUAUGUGGAGAAUCGAGUCUUCCUUCCUGCUGGUUAGCAUUCACUAGUGUUGACAUCCAAGGAUCAUUCCUUGGUUUUCAUUUUAGGAGAUGCUGAGCAGGGACUAAUCGGUAACAACCCCUUGAGGCGAGUCAUCAUGGAUGUUCCAGUUUCCUCAUUAUCCACUCUUGGUGUUCCUCUUAGUCCUGAUUAUUCAAAUCCAGAUGUUGAAAUGACCCCAUGUUCAGUCUAAGUGUUUGUUCUCACUGGUCUUCUCAUCCUAGACAGCCUCAUCUCUGUACCGUGUUUCAGGAGGGUCUUGGCUUUUUCUCCCAUCAUUAGCUAGACCUGUUUAUGUUGCCCACGGUUUUCUCAUUUUGGCUAUUUUCAAACUUGAUUCCUUGAUUCCAUAAUUCUUUUCCCUCACACACAACAAACCAGGAAAAAUCUGUUCUCUUGUUUUCUCAUGCUCCCAGUCCACACAUGUUCUCUGAUAACGUUCACCAGGCAUCUCAAAGGCUGGCUGGUCCCCACACCCUUCUGGAAGCCACAUGAAUACGUGAUUCUUUGGCUUUUCGCUUUUGUGUCUCAAUUCCGUCACCUUUUCCACACCUCUGCUCCUGUGACCACCAUAAAACUUUAUCAUCUCCCAUAAGCCUAGCCUCUCCCUAGGCUAGCAACUACUAGUGUACUACUAACAGGAAGUUAAAAUUUAGAAACUUUCUGGGGAAAUUCCAAAAUUAAAGUGGUUUACGCCAAACGUCUUAAGAUGCUUUCCCUGUGUUUGACUAGAAUCGUAUCUAUGGGGGGGGGGGAACUAGAUGGAGUGUUCAC